UACGGAGGGUGCGAGCGUUGUCCGGAAUCAUUGGGCGUAAAGGGCGCGUAGGUGGCCCCUCAAGCGUGCGGUGAAAGUCAGGGGCUCAACCCCUGAUCGGCCGUGCGAACUGGGGAGCUUGAGCACUGUAGAGGCAGGCGGAAUUCCGGGUGUAGCGGUGGAAUGCGUAGAGAUCCGGAAGAACACCGGUGGCGAAGGCGGCCUGCUGGGCAGUUUUGCUGACACUGAGGAGCGAAAGCAUGGGGAGCGAACAGGG
Molecule: ribosomal RNA, 256 nt
Filed under: uncultured bacterium
Lineage: Bacteria
Description: partial 16S ribosomal RNA
Rfam family: Bacterial small subunit ribosomal RNA
Source: RNAcentral